AUUGAACGCUGGCGGCAUGCCUUACACAUGCAAGUCGAACGGUAACAGGUCUUCGGAUGCUGACGAGUGGCGCACGGGUGUGUAAUACAUCGGAACGUGCCCGAUCGUGGGGGAUAACGAGGCGAAAGCUUUGCUAAUACCGCAUACGAUCUACGGAUGAAAGCGGGGGAUCUUCGGACCUCGCGCGGACGGAGCGGCCGAUGGCAGAUUAGGUAGUUGGUGGGAUAAAAGCUUACCAAGCCGACGAUCUGUAGCUGGUCUGAGAGGAUGAUCAGCCACACUGGGACUGAGACACGGCCCAGACUCCUACGGGAGGCAGCAGUGGGGAAUUUUGGACAAUGGGCGAAAGCCUGAUCCAGCCAUGCCGCGUGCAGGAUGAAGGCCUUUGGGUUGUAAACUGCUUUUGUACGGAACGAAAAGCCUCUUUCUAAUAAAGAGGGGUCAUGACGGUACCGUAAGAAUAAGCACCGGCUAACUACGUG
This 482-nucleotide ribosomal RNA is filed under the name uncultured bacterium. RNAcentral's name for it is "partial 16S ribosomal RNA". It matches the Rfam family "Bacterial small subunit ribosomal RNA", at positions 30 to 507 of the family's 1533-position model. The record is from RNAcentral.